Molecule: long non-coding RNA, 1261 nt
Filed under: Gossypium barbadense (sea-island cotton)
Lineage: Eukaryota; Viridiplantae; Streptophyta; Magnoliopsida; Malvales; Malvaceae
Description: long non-coding RNA (GBAR_LNC017381)
Source: RNAcentral
GAAGCUCAAGAAAGCCAACACAAAAACUGAUGCCUAUAGCCUUGGUGUUAUCAUAUUAGAACUCCUAACAGGGAAGUCCCCCGGAGAGGCAAUGAAUGGAGUGGAUUUGCCACAAUGGGUUGCCUCAAUAGUUAAAGAAGAGUGGACAAAUGAAGUGUUUGAUCUCGAGUUAAUGAGGGAUGCAUCUUCCAUUGGUGAUGAGUUGCUCAACACUUUGAAACUGGGUUUACAUUGCGUGGACCCAUCGCCAUCGGCAAGACCCGAAGUUCAUCAGGUUCUCCAGCAGCUAGAAGAGAUUAGACCAGAGAGUGAGACACCUGCUAGCUCUGCACCUUCUGGUGAUGAUGGAGCUGGAGGAGUUCCUUCAACAAGCGAGUGAAAAAAGGGGGGUGUUCAUGUAUUAGGCAUAGGCACUAGAGAGCAUUGAUUCUUUUAUUCUUACAAGAGAUAUCCUUAGAUAUUAAUUUUGUGUGUGGGUUGCCUCAAUAGUUAAAGAAGAGUGGACAAAUGAAGUGUUUGAUCUCGAGUUAAUGAGGGAUGCAUCUUCCAUUGGUGAUGAGUUGCUCAACACUUUGAAACUGGGUUUACAUUGCGUGGACCCAUCGCCAUCGGCAAGACCCGAAGUUCAUCAGGUUCUCCAGCAGCUAGAAGAGAUUAGACCAGAGAGUGAGACACCUGCUAGCUCUGCACCUUCUGGUGAUGAUGGAGCUGGAGGAGUUCCUUCAACAAGCGAGUGAAAAAAGGGGGGUGUUCAUGUAUUAGGCAUAGGCACUAGAGAGCAUUGAUUCUUUUAUUCUUACAAGAGAUAUCCUUAGAUAUUAAUUUUGUGUGCUGUCUGUAAAUAUGUUUUUAAUAGUUCCAGGUUGUUUGCCCCUUUGAAUUGUUAUGAUGUAGUUCAGUUCCACUCCCUGGAAAGACUAGGCGAUUUUGAAGUUGUCUGCAUUUGAUUCAGUUGAGAAAUGAUUGUUUUUCAAUCCAAAUCUUUGGCCACUUUGCAUAUGCAACAAUGUCUUCUGAUACUAACAGCCGAGCAAAAAGAAAAAGAAAGCCGUAACAACUUUGAAUAUCAACUUCAGAUAUCUUUUCCGGGAAAAACAGAAGAAAAAGAAAAAGUUCUGUGGCAUAUUUCCAUACAUUUUCAAUAAAGUGGCCAACCUGUCCUUGUUUCCAUUUCUUACCAAACCUAUAAUGCUGUUCCAAUUUAGACAAACUCUUUUUUUUUUUUCAAAAAUGCUUUAAUUUAAUUUAAUUUAAUAUUUUU